Molecule: long non-coding RNA, 625 nt
Filed under: Anser brachyrhynchus (Pink-footed goose)
Lineage: Eukaryota; Metazoa; Chordata; Aves; Anseriformes; Anatidae
Description: lncRNA (ENSABRG00000007410.1)
Source: RNAcentral
UUGAGUUGUUGUAGAGCUUUCUUAAGCUUUCCUUAGAGAAACUAUCCAAGUGUUCAGUAAUGUGCAUGGACUAAGUCCUAAAAGCAGAACAUAUCUGAUUGUGUGAGCUCUCAAAACAGAGUGCAUAGAGAAGGCCUGGAAAGAGGUAUUAAAUUCAUUCUGUUUCUCAUACAGGAGCAGCUAUUCCUCCAGUGAUGCUAUUGAGAAGAGAUGACUUGGAGAAGCCAAGCUAUUAGAGGAUGUCACCCAUGCAGCGUUCCAGAAUGGGACCAUCCCUGGUGUUACAGCCAAGAGAAGAGGCACUUGGGAAGUCUGCUAAACCCAGGAACAAAGGAUGGAAAAUAACAUAACAUCUGAGGUACUAAUGCAGCACCCACCUGUCUCCAGCCUCUGCAAGCCUCUCUCACUCCUACAGCUGGACCCAGACUGCCUGACAACUCGAUUGUCUUUCAGUCAGCAGGUUUGGCCUCCCCCGUGGCUGAAAGGUGCCUUGCUACAUGGAACAGACUGUUCCCCAUGCACAGCUGCAGUGUGGGAUCACAAGGAGACCGGCACAGCAACAAGAUAUUUCCAUGCUGCAAACCAGUCCAAUGCUCUGGGGAAGAAGCUUAGAACUGAUCCCUAG